GAGGGUAUAGCUCAGCUGGUAGAGCAGCGGCCUUUUAAGCCGUUGGCCGAGGGUUCGAAUCCCUCUACCCUCACUA
RNAcentral lists this transfer RNA (76 nucleotides) under Caldithrix sp. RNAcentral describes it as "tRNA-Lys". It matches the Rfam family "tRNA". Rfam says of the family: Transfer RNA (tRNA) molecules are approximately 80 nucleotides in length. Their secondary structure includes four short double-helical elements and three loops (D, anti-codon, and T loops). Lineage: Bacteria; Pseudomonadati; Calditrichota; Calditrichia; Calditrichales; Calditrichaceae. The record is from RNAcentral.